UGGGGAAUAUUGGACAAUGGGCGAAAGCCUGAUCCAGCCAUGCCGCGUGUGUGAAGAAGGUCUUCGGAUUGUAAAGCACUUUAAGUUGGGAGGAAGGGCAUUAACCUAAUACGUUAGUGUUUUGACGUUACCGACAGAAUAAGCACCGGCUAACUCUGUGCCAGCAGCCGCGGUAAUACAGAGGGUGCAAGCGUUAAUCGGAAUUACUGGGCGUAAAGCGCGCGUAGGUGGUUUGUUAAGUUGGAUGUGAAAUCCCCGGGCUCAACCUGGGAACUGCAUUCAAAACUGACUGACUAGAGUAUGGUAGAGGGUGGUGGAAUUUCCUGUGUAGCGGUGAAAUGCGUGGAUAUAGGAAGGAACACCAGUGGCGAAGGCGACCACCUGGACUAAUACUGACACUGAGGUGCGAAAGCGUGGGGAGCAAACA
This 427-nucleotide ribosomal RNA is filed under the name uncultured bacterium. RNAcentral describes it as "partial 16S ribosomal RNA". It matches the Rfam family "Bacterial small subunit ribosomal RNA", at positions 355 to 774 of the family's 1533-position model. The record is from RNAcentral.